RNAcentral lists this unclassified non-coding RNA (298 nucleotides) under uncultured Lasiosphaeriaceae. RNAcentral describes it as "sequence contains ITS1". The stretch from base 1 to 105 matches the Rfam family "5.8S ribosomal RNA", at positions 50 to 154 of the family's 154-position model. The record is from RNAcentral. Lineage: Eukaryota; Fungi; Ascomycota; Sordariomycetes; Sordariales; Lasiosphaeriaceae.
GAAAUGCGAUACUUGGUGUGAAUUGCAGAAUUCAGUGAAUCAUCGAAUCUUUGAACGCACAUUGCGCCCGCCAGUAUUCUGGCGGGCAUGCCUGUCCGAGCGUCAUUUCAACCAUCAAGCCCCGGGCUUGUGUUGGGGACCUGCGUCCGACGCAGGCCCCGAAAACCAGUGGCGGGCUCGCUGUCCACACCGAGCGUAGUAGCUAACCUCGCUCCGGAGUGGCGCGGGCGCCUGCCGUAAAACCCCCCAAUUUUACAAGGUUGACCUCGGAUCAGGUAGGAAUACCCGCUGAACUUAA